RNAcentral lists this ribosomal RNA (253 nucleotides) under uncultured bacterium. RNAcentral's name for it is "partial 16S ribosomal RNA". It matches the Rfam family "Bacterial small subunit ribosomal RNA", at positions 524 to 776 of the family's 1533-position model. The record is from RNAcentral.
UACAGAGGUCCCAAGCGUUGUUCGGAUUCACUGGGCGUAAAGGGUGCGUAGGUGGCGAGGUAAGUUUGAUGUGAAAUCUCUGAGCUCAACUCGGAAACUGCAUUGAAUACUAUCUUGCUUGAGGAUUGGAGGGGGGACUGGAAUUCUUGGUGUAGCAGUGAAAUGCGUAGAUAUCAAGAGGAACACCAGUGGCGAAGGCGAGUCCCUGGACAAUACCUGACACUGAGGCACGAAAGCUAGGGGAGCAAACAGG